Molecule: transfer RNA, 66 nt
Filed under: Ischalia sp. BMNH 840493
Lineage: Eukaryota; Metazoa; Arthropoda; Insecta; Coleoptera; Anthicidae
Description: tRNA-Pro
Source: RNAcentral
CAGAAAAUAGUUUAAAUAAAAUAUUAAUUUUGGAGAUUAAAGAUAAUAAGAACUUAUUUUUUCUGA